Molecule: ribosomal RNA, 388 nt
Filed under: Fusarium sp. 187.I
Lineage: Eukaryota; Fungi; Ascomycota; Sordariomycetes; Hypocreales; Nectriaceae
Description: eukaryotic LSU rRNA
Rfam family: 5.8S ribosomal RNA (bases 65-218)
Source: RNAcentral
CGCCCGAGGACCCCCAAACUCUGUUUUUAGUGGAACUUCUGAGUAAAACAAACAAAUAAAUCAAAACUUUCAACAACGGAUCUCUUGGUUCUGGCAUCGAUGAAGAACGCAGCAAAAUGCGAUAAGUAAUGUGAAUUGCAGAAUUCAGUGAAUCAUCGAAUCUUUGAACGCACAUUGCGCCCGCCAGUAUUCUGGCGGGCAUGCCUGUUCGAGCGUCAUUUCAACCCUCAAGCUCAGCUUGGUGUUGGGACUCGCGGUAACCCGCGUUCCCCAAAUCGAUUGGCGGUCACGUCGAGCUUCCAUAGCGUAGUAAUCAUACACCUCGUUACUGGUAAUCGUCGCGGCCACGCCGUUAAACCCCNAACUUCUGAAUGUUGACCUCGGAUCA